Carya illinoinensis is the source of this 458-nucleotide long non-coding RNA. RefSeq lists it as uncharacterized. The transcript has 3 exons. Lineage: Eukaryota; Viridiplantae; Streptophyta; Magnoliopsida; Fagales; Juglandaceae. The record is from RefSeq and is a predicted model, not a curated record.
UACAGGACCUGAAGGAGGAUCAGGAGCUGACCAACUAGACACAAUCGACUGAACGACGCUUGCUAGUGAUGAUGUCCUCAACACUCAUGAGUUCCCACCUUUCUAUCCUACUCAAAUAUGAAGGGUGGUUGUUACAAACCGAUUGUUUUGCACAUGACCAACAACGGUGACGAUGAUGAGGAUGACAAACGGUGAGGAUGAUGGCGAUGGACAACAGCGAGGACGACGGCGAGAGACAAUGGUGAGGACGAAUGUGUCUCCAAUUCAUGAAGAUCUAAUGUGAUGAGGUUCAUUGUACUUUAAGUAGAAUUAUUGACAUGGCAGGUUGUGAUUGAAGGGCUGCUAUUCUCAGUUAAAUAGCCCGACCAUCAAGCAGCAUUUUCCUUUUGAUAAAAUUGUAGGUUUUUUUUUUCACUCAUCAAUACAAGGAUUGAAAUUUUAUGAUUGUUAUUGUCAUA